Molecule: ribosomal RNA, 465 nt
Filed under: Vreelandella stevensii
Lineage: Bacteria; Pseudomonadati; Pseudomonadota; Gammaproteobacteria; Oceanospirillales; Halomonadaceae
Description: partial 16S ribosomal RNA
Rfam family: Bacterial small subunit ribosomal RNA
Source: RNAcentral
CCUACGGGGGGCAGCAGUGGGGAAUAUUGGACAAUGGGCGAAAGCCUGAUCCAGCCAUGCCGCGUGUGUGAAGAAGGCCUUCGGGUUGUAAAGCACUUUCAGUGGGGAAGAAAGCCUUGGGGCUAAUACCCUCGAGGAAGGACAUCACCCACAGAAGAAGCACCGGCUAACUCCGUGCCAGCAGCCGCGGUAAUACGGAGGGUGCGAGCGUUAAUCGGAAUUACUGGGCGUAACGCGCGCGUAGGCGGUCUGAUAAGCCGGUUGUGAAAGCCCCGGGCUCAACCUGGGAACGGCAUCCGGAACUGUCAGGCUAGAGUGCAGGAGAGGAAGGUAGAAUUCCCGGUGUAGCGGUGAAAUGCGUAGAGAUCGGGAGGAAUACCAGUGGCGAAGGCGGCCUUCUGGACUGACACUGACGCUGAGGUGCGAAAGCGUGGGUAGCAAACAGGAUUAGAUACCCUAGUAGUC